Molecule: ribosomal RNA, 966 nt
Filed under: uncultured Chloroflexota bacterium
Lineage: Bacteria; Bacillati; Chloroflexota
Description: bacterial SSU rRNA
Rfam family: Bacterial small subunit ribosomal RNA
Source: RNAcentral
AUGCAGUCGAACGGGAAGCGGCGCUUAUCACUUCGGUGGUGUAGCGCUGUGGAGAGUGGCGAACGGGUGCGUAACACGUAGGUAACCUGCCCUGAAAGGGGGGAUAACCACGGGAAACUGUGGCUAAUACCGCAUAAUUUCGCCGUGACGGUGGUUGCGGUGAGGAAAGUUCAGGCGAUUUGGGAGGGGCCUGCGGUCGAUUAGCUGGUUGGUGGGGUAAAGGCCCACCAAGGCGAUGAUCGAUAGCUGUUCUGAGAGGAAGACCAGCCACACGGGAACUGAGACACGGUUCCGACUCCUACGGGGGGCAGCCGUGAGGAAUAUUGCGCAAUGGGGGGAACCCUGACGCAGCAACGCCGCGUGGAGGACGAAGGUUUUCGGAUUGUAAACUCCUUAACUGGGGGAAGAGAGAGGACGGUACCCCAGGACGAAGACACGGCUAACUAGGUGCCAGCAGCCGCGGUAAUACCUAGGUGUCGAGCGUUAUCCGGAAUUACUGGGCGUAAAGGGUGCGCAGGCGGCGAUACAAGUCUGGCGUGAAAGCUUCUGGCUUAACUGGGAGAGGACGUUAGAAACUGUAUGGCUAGAGUGAAUGAGAGGGGGGCGGAAAUCCCGGUGUAGUGGUGGAAUGCGUAGAUAUCGGGAAGAACACCAGAGGCGAAGGCGGCCUCCUGGCAUUUUACUGACGCUGAGGCACGAAAGCGUGGGUAGCGAACGGGAUUAGAUACCCCGGUAGUCCACGCUGUAAACGAUGUGAACGAGGUGUGGGCGGUGUAGAAGCCGUCUGUGCCGGAGCAAACGCGAUAAGUUCACCGCCUGGGGAGUACGGUCGCAAGGCUAAAACUCAAAGGAAUUGACGGGGGGCCCGCACAAGCAGCGGAGCGUGUGGGUUUAAUUCGAUGCAACGCGAAGAACCUUACCUGGGCUUGACAUGUACGUAGUAGUGAAGGGAAACCGGAACGAGCC